This 468-nucleotide ribosomal RNA is filed under the name uncultured bacterium. Its description in RNAcentral is "partial 16S ribosomal RNA". It matches the Rfam family "Bacterial small subunit ribosomal RNA", at positions 28 to 507 of the family's 1533-position model. The record is from RNAcentral.
GACGAACGCUGGCGGCGUGCUUAACACAUGCAAGUCGAACGGAAAGGCCCUGCUUUUGUGGGGUGCUCGAGUGGCGAACGGGUGAGUAACACGUGAGUAACCUGCCCUUGACUUUGGGAUAACUUCAGGAAACUGGGGCUAAUACCGGAUAGGAGCUCCUGCUGCAUGGUGGGGGUUGGAAAGUUUCGGCGGUUGGGGAUGGACUCGCGGCUUAUCAGCUUGUUGGUGGGGUAGUGGCUUACCAAGGCUUUGACGGGUAGCCGGCCUGAGAGGGUGACCGGCCAAAUUAGAAUGGGAAUGAGACCCAGACCAGAAUGGGACGGAAGGGAGGGGAAGAGAACAUAGGAGGAUGAAGGAAAACGCGACAAAGCAACGUGGGGUAAGACAGCAAGGGGGUAGGAUUGUAAAUUUGUCUGUGACGGAGCGAGAAUGACGGUAACGGGUAAAGAAGCACCGGCUAACUACGUG